GAUGAACGCAGGCGGCGUGCCUAACACAUGCAAGUCGAGCGAACCUUUCGGGGUGAGCGGCGGACGGGUGAGUAACGCGUGGGUAACCUGCCCUAUACACACGGAUAACGUACCGAAAGGUACGCUAAUACGGGAUAAAGUUGUUGGAUGGCAUCUUCUAACAAUCAAAGCUCCGGCGGUAUAGGAUGGACCCGCGUCUGAUUAGCUAGUUGGUGAGGUAAUGGCUCACCAAGGCGACGAUCAGUAGCCGACCUGAGAAGGUGAUCGGCCACACUGGAACUGAGACACGGUCCAGACUCCUACGGGAGGCAGCAGUGGGGAAUAUUGCACAAUGGGCGAAAGCCUGGUGCAGCAACGCCGCGUGAGCGAUGAAGGUCUUCGGAUCGUAAAGCUCUGUCCUCAAGGAAGAUAAUGACGGUACUUGAGGAGGAAGCCCCGGCUAACUACGUGCCAGCAGCCGCAGUAA
RNAcentral lists this ribosomal RNA (466 nucleotides) under uncultured bacterium. RNAcentral's name for it is "partial 16S ribosomal RNA". It matches the Rfam family "Bacterial small subunit ribosomal RNA", at positions 28 to 523 of the family's 1533-position model. The record is from RNAcentral.